This 541-nucleotide ribosomal RNA is filed under the name Monotaxis grandoculis (humpnose big-eye bream). Its description in RNAcentral is "partial large subunit ribosomal RNA". It matches the Rfam family "Bacterial large subunit ribosomal RNA", at positions 1913 to 2602 of the family's 2925-position model. The record is from RNAcentral. Lineage: Eukaryota; Metazoa; Chordata; Actinopteri; Spariformes; Lethrinidae.
UGACUAUAUGUUUAACGGCCGCGGUAUCCUGACCGUGCGAAGGUAGCGCAAUCACUUGUCUCUUAAAUGGGGACCUGUAUGAAUGGCAUCACGAGGGUUUAACUGUCUCCUCUUUCAAGUCAAUGAAAUUGAUCCCCCCGUGCAGAAGCGGGGAUGAGCACAUAAGACGAGAAGACCCUAUGGAGCUUUAGACACUAAGGUAGACUAUAUCAACCGCCCCCAAAACCCGGGCCAAAACCAAAUACCCCCCUACCCUACGUCUUCGGUUGGGGCGACCACGGAGUAAUAAAAAACCCCCGCGUGGACCGGGAACACAAUUUUCCCACAGACAAGAGCUCCCGCUCUAACAAGCAGAAUUUCUGACUAAAAGUGAUCCAGCCAAUGCUGAUCAACGGACCAAGUUACCCUAGGGAUAACAGCGCAAUCUCCUUCUAGAGUCCAUAUCGACAAGGAGGUUUACGACCUCGAUGUUGGAUCAGGACAUCCUAAUGGUGCAGCCGCUAUUAAGGGUUCGUUUGUUCAACGACUAAAGUCCUACGUG